Bos taurus (domestic cattle) is the source of this 979-nucleotide long non-coding RNA. NCBI's taxonomy places the organism in Eukaryota, Metazoa, Chordata, Mammalia, Artiodactyla, Bovidae. The record is from Ensembl.
GGGAGAAAGAUGCAAGGAUGUGCCCAGAAAGAAAGGUGGGGAUUCAGAAACAUGCUUAGGGUGUAGGGACAAUCCAUUUCCUUGGUUUGUUUCAGUAUUCAAGAAAUAGUUAUUGAGUGCCCACCUCUUCUAGGCCAGUCUAGGUGCAGGGGAUGUGCAAGGGAACAGAUGGCCAGGGCUUUUACUGUCCUGGAACUCACAGGAGAGACACACAAGAAACAAUACGAAAUUUCAGUUACGGAGAAGUGUUUCUAAAAUGAAGCCGGAAAGAGAAUUCCCUGGUGGUCCAGUGGUUAGGAUUCCAGGCUUUCCACGCCAUGGCCGGGGCUCAAUCCCUGGUCAGAGAACUGAGAUUCCCACAAGCCACAAGGUGUGUCUUAAAAAACAAAUGUGAAGCAGGACGUGGUGACUUCAGAUGAGGAACCUCAGGAAGAACCCACUGCAAAGGCAGCAAGGGUUGUGAGAAGGAAAGGCACCGCCAAACAUUCCGGCCAAGCAGUGACUCAGAGUUCUGAGAAAGCUACCCAUUUUCAAGGAGACCCCAUGGAGGGCAGAGGAAGAAGGAUCACCCAUGCACACUUCCUAAGGCUUCCCUUGGACUGCAGUUUGGACUGGGCGGUGCUGAGGAUGGUGAGAUGGUUCCUCUGGCACUCGAGCCCUGCCCAAGGCUCGGACACACAUGCCCACGAUCGGAAUCACAUCCCAGGGCAAUGGGUGCCCCAACGGAAGCGGCACAGGGUGGACAGAGAGGCUGAGGGUGCACGGGGUCGGCGGGAGCGGCCAGCCAGGGGCGAAGGAGCUGGGGAGAGACACUCGAGAACCCUGGCCGCAGCUUUCUCCUCCCUCAGACCCAACAGUCGGGUUUCCAGGCGGACGCGCUUGGUCCUGGUUUCCCGCCCGUUCCCCGCCCGCCGGCCCCCAGGAGACUGGACCCUCCGCUCCCGCCUGCACCCCUUAAGGAAUCAGAUGUCCCUGCGGG